CCCCCCCCUUUUUUUUUGGCAGUUUGUGUGGGGCAGAAAAGCUGCUGCUGGAUCCAUUGCAGUGGCCCACUCCUAUUUGAAAAAAUAUCCUUUUAACCAUGAACUGAAGGCACAGGUGCCCUGGGAGCAUGGCUGAAGCAGAGCCUAUGAAUAUUAUGAACACACAAGAAAAUAAUGAAAUUUCCUGGCAGGUCCAAUCCAGUCUGAGAGGGAGCCCUGAAUGCCGCCGGCUUGGUCAGUCCAUGUGUAUGCCGAAGCUAAGAGUGAGUUUUCACUCCCAGAUGAAGAUGCUCUGGAGGCGGGUCCUGCAGCCCACAAGGCAAAUAUGCCUAGAAAGGCC
This is a long non-coding RNA of Sceloporus undulatus (fence lizard), 340 nucleotides long. RefSeq lists it as uncharacterized. The record is from RefSeq and is a predicted model, not a curated record. The transcript is spliced from 3 exons. NCBI's taxonomy places the organism in Eukaryota, Metazoa, Chordata, Lepidosauria, Squamata, Phrynosomatidae.